Molecule: ribosomal RNA, 496 nt
Filed under: uncultured bacterium
Lineage: Bacteria
Description: partial 16S ribosomal RNA
Rfam family: Bacterial small subunit ribosomal RNA
Source: RNAcentral
GAUGAACGCUGGCGGCGUGCCUAAUACAUGCAAGUCGAGCGAACGGACGAGAAGCUUGCUUUUCUGAUGUUAGCGGCGGACGGGUGAGUAACACGUGGAUAACCUACCUAUAAGACUGGGAUAACUUCGGGAAACCGGAGCUAAUACCGGAUAAUAUUUUGAACCGCAUGGUUCAAAAGUGAAAGACGGUCUUGCUGUCACUUAUAGAUGGAUCCGCGCUGCAUUAGCUAGUUGGUAAGGUAACGGCUUAUCAAGGCAACGAUGCAUAGCCGACCUGAGAGGGGGAUCGGCCACACUGGAACUGAGACACGGUCCAGACUCCUACGGGAGGCAGCAGUAGGGAAUCUUCCGCAAUGGGCGAAAGCCUGACGGAGCAACGCCGCGUGAGUGAUGAAGGUCUGCGGAUCGUAAAACUCUGUUAUUAGGGAAGAACAUAUGUGUAAGUAACUGUGCACAUCUGGACGGUACCUAAUCAGAAAGCCAGGCUAACUACGUG